AGGGAUCAUUACACAAAUAUGAAGGCGGGCUGGAACCUCUCGGGGUUACAGCCUUGCUGAAUUAUUCACCCUUGUCUUUUGCGUACUUCUUGUUUCCUUGGUGGGUUCGCCCACCACUAGGACAAACAUAAACCUUUUGUAAUUGCAAUCAGCGUCAGUAACAAAUUAAUAAUUACAACUUUCAACAACGGAUCUCUUGGUUCUGGCAUCGAUGAAGAACGCAGCGAAAUGCGAUAAGUAGUGUGAAUUGCAGAAUUCAGUGAAUCAUCGAAUCUUUGAACGCACAUUGCGCCCUUUGGUAUUCCAAAGGGCAUGCCUGUUCGAGCGUCAUUUGUACCCUCAAGCUUUGCUUGGUGUUGGGCGUCUUGUCUCUAGCUUUGCUGGAGACUCGCCUUAAAGUAAUUGGCAGCCGGCCUACUGGUUUCGGAGCGCAGCACAAGUCGCACUCUCUAUCAGCAAAGGUCUAGCAUCCAUUAAGCCUUUUUUUCAACUUUUGACCUCGGAUCAGGUAGGGAUACCCGCUGAACUUAAGCAUAUC
Molecule: ribosomal RNA, 538 nt
Filed under: Alternaria tenuissima
Lineage: Eukaryota; Fungi; Ascomycota; Dothideomycetes; Pleosporales; Pleosporaceae
Description: eukaryotic LSU rRNA
Rfam family: 5.8S ribosomal RNA (bases 177-330)
Source: RNAcentral